UGGCUUAGUUGGUAGAGCAUGGUGUUUGCAAUGCCAGGGUUGUGGGUUCGAUUCCCAC
This 58-nucleotide transfer RNA is filed under the name Salmo salar (Atlantic salmon). It matches the Rfam family "tRNA", at positions 8 to 63 of the family's 71-position model. From Rfam's summary of the family: Transfer RNA (tRNA) molecules are approximately 80 nucleotides in length. Their secondary structure includes four short double-helical elements and three loops (D, anti-codon, and T loops). RNAcentral also lists the same sequence under 1 other name. Lineage: Eukaryota; Metazoa; Chordata; Actinopteri; Salmoniformes; Salmonidae. The record is from Rfam by way of RNAcentral.